RNAcentral lists this ribosomal RNA (553 nucleotides) under Trichoderma harzianum. RNAcentral's name for it is "eukaryotic LSU rRNA". The stretch from base 179 to 332 matches the Rfam family "5.8S ribosomal RNA". The record is from RNAcentral. Lineage: Eukaryota; Fungi; Ascomycota; Sordariomycetes; Hypocreales; Hypocreaceae.
UGUGAACGUUACCAAACUGUUGCCUCGGCGGGAUCUCUGCCCCGGGUGCGUCGCAGCCCCGGACCAAGGCGCCCGCCGGAGGACCAACCAAAACUCUUAUUGUAUACCCCCUCGCGGGUUUUUUUUUAUAAUCUGAGCCUUCUCGGCGCCUCUCGUAGGCGUUUCGAAAAUGAAUCAAAACUUUCAACAACGGAUCUCUUGGUUCUGGCAUCGAUGAAGAACGCAGCGAAAUGCGAUAAGUAAUGUGAAUUGCAGAAUUCAGUGAAUCAUCGAAUCUUUGAACGCACAUUGCGCCCGCCAGUAUUCUGGCGGGCAUGCCUGUCCGAGCGUCAUUUCAACCCUCGAACCCCUCCGGGGGGUCGGCGUUGGGGAUCGGCCCUGCCUUGGCGGUGGCCGUCUCCGAAAUACAGUGGCGGUCUCGCCGCAGCCUCUCCUGCGCAGUAGUUUGCACACUCGCAUCGGGAGCGCGGCGCGUCCACAGCCGUUAAACACCCAACUUCUGAAAUGUUGACCUCGGAUCAGGUAGGAAUACCCGCUGAACUUAAGCAUAUCA